Molecule: ribosomal RNA, 778 nt
Filed under: Austrochloritis bellengerensis
Lineage: Eukaryota; Metazoa; Mollusca; Gastropoda; Stylommatophora; Camaenidae
Description: partial large subunit ribosomal RNA
Rfam family: Archaeal large subunit ribosomal RNA (bases 327-571)
Source: RNAcentral
UUAAUUUUAAAAACAAAAUUGGAUGUCCCGAAGUUAAGUGAGCUAAUUAAUAUGUGCUUGUAGGCGAAAACAUGUUGCAAAAUUCAUUAAAUAUUAAUUAGGGGUGAAAGGCUUAUCACACUUAACGAUAACUUGAUGGUUUAGAAACGUACUAGUACACAGGCACUCUUAAAGUGAUAAGGCUUUAAAUGGAAAUUAAUUUAUGACAAUAAAUGAUGUCAUGUUUAAUCAUUAACAUUAUCAAAAAAUAUUAUUAAUUUAUAAUUAUUAUUUUUUUUUAUAAACCUAUAAAUGAAUUUCUCAUACGAUAGAAAAUGUUGGUAUUAGUAGCAAAGAGAUGCAAAUAAUGAACUCGGCAAUAAGCCUUUCAACUGUUUAUCAAAAACAUAGCUGCAUGAAUUUCUAUGCAGUAAUUUCUGCUCAAUGAAUGUUUAAAUAGCCGCAGUACCCUGACUGUGCUAAGGUAGCGCAAUCAAUUGACUUUUAAAUGAAGUCCAGUAUGAACGAAAUUAUGGGGGGCUUCUUUCUCAUUGGCAAUUUUUGAAUUUACUUAGUAAGUGCAAAUUCUUACAUAUAUAAAAUAGACGAGAAGACCCUAGAAAUUUUAAAAGGACAGUCUUUUUUGUUGGGGCAACAAAGUAGCAAUAAAUAAUCUACUAAAAUUUACAUGCAAUUAAUAUUUUGAUAGAUCAAAUUACUCUAGGGAUAACAGCAUAAUUAAUUAAACGUUUGUGACCUCGAUUUUUGGAAUUAAGGGAAAUUAGGCAUUUUUGAAAGA